RNAcentral lists this transfer RNA (75 nucleotides) under Sapayoa aenigma (broad-billed sapayoa). RNAcentral describes it as "tRNA-Asn". It matches the Rfam family "tRNA". Rfam says of the family: Transfer RNA (tRNA) molecules are approximately 80 nucleotides in length. Their secondary structure includes four short double-helical elements and three loops (D, anti-codon, and T loops). Further hydrogen bonds mediate the characteristic L-shaped molecular structure. tRNAs have two regions of fundamental functional importance: the anti-codon, which is responsible for specific mRNA codon recognition, and the 3' end, to which the tRNAs corresponding amino acid is attached (by aminoacyl-tRNA synthetases). tRNAs cope with the degeneracy of the genetic code in two manners: having more than one tRNA (with a specific anti-codon) for a particular amino acid; and 'wobble' base-pairing, i.e. permitting non-standard base-pairing at the 3rd anti-codon position. The record is from RNAcentral. Lineage: Eukaryota; Metazoa; Chordata; Aves; Passeriformes; Tyrannidae.
UGGGCAGAAGCCUAAUAGGCUUGAGGCAUUUAGCUGUUAACUAGAAGUUUAUGGGAUCGAAGCCCAUCUGCUCAG